CUAAGGAAACUAGCCGGUGAUAAGCCGGACGGAAGGUGGGGAUGACGUCAAGUCCUCAUGGCCCUUACACGCUGGGCUACACACGUGCUACAAUGGCGGUGACAGUGGGCAGCAACCGGGCGACCGGUAGCUAAUCUCCAAAAACCGUCUCAGUUCGGAUUGUUCUCUGCAACUCGAGAGCAUGAAGGCGGAAUCGCUAGUAAUCGCGGAUCAGCAUGCCGCGGUGAAUACGUUCCCAGGCCCU
This 244-nucleotide ribosomal RNA is filed under the name uncultured Sphingomonadales bacterium. Its description in RNAcentral is "partial 16S ribosomal RNA". It matches the Rfam family "Bacterial small subunit ribosomal RNA", at positions 1140 to 1382 of the family's 1533-position model. The record is from RNAcentral. Lineage: Bacteria; Pseudomonadati; Pseudomonadota; Alphaproteobacteria; Sphingomonadales.